Molecule: long non-coding RNA, 538 nt
Filed under: Setaria italica (foxtail millet)
Lineage: Eukaryota; Viridiplantae; Streptophyta; Magnoliopsida; Poales; Poaceae
Description: long non-coding RNA (SITA_LNC000233)
Source: RNAcentral
UUUUUUCCCCUCUCUGGGAGAAUUUGAAACGGAUUUGAAACGGAUGUAGCAAAAGUAACGAACAUUGAAAUGCUAAAAUAACCUAUAAUUUGAAACGGAUGGAGUAGAAUUUGCGUGUCAGUUCACCAUCCCAGGAGAGGCUCUGCAUCCCCCGAGAAGUGGAUCUCGAGCUCCAUGGCGCGGCGGCGGAUGGAGCAACAGCCUCAUGGCUCGGAGGUGACCCACCGGAGCUCGACGACCGGCCAUGGUGCGUCGCCGGCGGAGGAUGGUAGCUCGCAGAUCUCCUCCUCCUCCUUCCUCUCUCUGAUAGGUUUGGGGUGUCCAGGGAUGGAUGUCGGCGCUCGUCGACGGCAGCCUCUAUGGCCGAGCGAUGUCGCCGGGCGGAGGAGAAACUGCCGAUAGUGGAGAAGGUUGCAUUCCCCUACAUUAAGGGCAGAGGAGCUGAGUUUUUGUGAUUGCUAAAAAAAAAACCACGAUACAUCGCUGAUCAGUGAGAACACACACGAGAUAAGUUAACCGUCGUGGAAUUUCCUGUUAC